Onthophagus taurus is the source of this 872-nucleotide long non-coding RNA. RefSeq lists it as uncharacterized. Lineage: Eukaryota; Metazoa; Arthropoda; Insecta; Coleoptera; Scarabaeidae. The record is from RefSeq and is a predicted model, not a curated record.
GAAGUUGACGUGUUGACCAAGAACGGCCAAGAACAUGUCGCUUUGCUUUUCUUUACAGAAGUCGUUUUGUGGAAGCUUUAGGUUAAAUUUGAUUACAAUGUUAACCAGUUUUAAAAUAUCAAAUUAACAGAAAUGUCAUAAGUUUCUUGGGUAGUUAUAAUUGAAUCAACAAAUAUGAAAUAAAGAAAAGGAUGAAAUGGUGUAAAUGGAAUUUUGAUUCCUAACAAAAGGCAUAAGAAGUGGUACUGUUAAACAUCAAUAUUUUUGGAAAAUACUGUUUUUGGAUAAGUCCAUUUUUAAGAAUUACCACAUGUGAAGAAAUUCAAGUUGGUUGUAUCAAGCAAUGAUAAACUGAUUGAUCCAUAAUAUAUUAAUUAGAAAGAAGUAUCAGCAUUUUCGUGAUUUUCUAAUAUUAUUGCAAGUUUACCUUUACAACAAAGCAAGCUAAGUGACGAAAAAUGUAGAAAAUGUCAUUUUAUUCCUUCUUUACACAGAACAAGUUUCUUUUGGUUCAUUUUUAUAAUCUUGUAUAGUUAAAUAUGACAAUUUUAUAGUGCAGGUAUAAUUCAAAAUACUAUAGAAAAUGGCUUGGAAAAAAUAGAACAACUAACAAUGUUGAUAGAAUAUUUAAGAUUUAACAAUGUUUGAAAAGAGUUUCAAAACAACAUCAACAUCAUUUGUGUGAGGAGUGUUUUAAAGUAUCGACGAUUCUUUAGGAAUUGUUUUUUAUAUGCAUAGAGUUCUUUCAAUUUGAACUUAUUACCACUUUCAUUCUUAUUUUCUUGUGUGUUAAGACUUUUUGACUUGAAUAUGACAACGACUUUAUUUAAGUGCUUUAUUUUUUAUUAGACUUGAUUAAACUGGCCAGAGUC